This 490-nucleotide ribosomal RNA is filed under the name uncultured bacterium. RNAcentral describes it as "partial 16S ribosomal RNA". It matches the Rfam family "Bacterial small subunit ribosomal RNA", at positions 28 to 507 of the family's 1533-position model. The record is from RNAcentral.
GAUGAACGCUAGCGGCAGGCCUAAUACAUGCAAGUCGAACGGGAUCCAGAUCAAAGCUUGCUUUGGUUUGGUGAGAGUGGCGCACGGGUGCGUAACGCGUGAGCAACCUACCCUUGUCAGGGGGAUAGCCCGGCGAAAGUCGGAUUAAUACCGCAUGACAUCAUUGAGAGGCAUCUUUCGAUGAUCAAAGAUUUAUCGGACAAGGAUGGGCUCGCGUGACAUUAGCUUGUUGGUAAGGUAACGGCUUACCAAGGCUACGAUGUCUAGGGGCUCUGAGAGGAGAAUCCCCCACACUGGUACUGAGACACGGACCAGACUCCUACGGGAGGCAGCAGUAAGGAAUAUUGGUCAAUGGACGGAAGUCUGAACCAGCCAUGCCGCGUGCAGGAAGACGGCCCUAUGGGUUGUAAACUGCUUUUAUACGGGAACAAACGUCGGUACGUGUACCGGUCUGAGUGUACCGUAAGAAUAAGGAUCGGCUAACUCCGUG